RNAcentral lists this ribosomal RNA (388 nucleotides) under uncultured Cyclotella. Its description in RNAcentral is "partial 23S ribosomal RNA". It matches the Rfam family "Bacterial large subunit ribosomal RNA", at positions 2078 to 2465 of the family's 2925-position model. Lineage: Eukaryota; Bacillariophyta; Thalassiosirophyceae; Thalassiosirales; Thalassiosiraceae. The record is from RNAcentral.
GGACAGAAAGACCCUAUGAAGCUUUACUGUAACUUGAAAUUGAAAUUGGACUUUAUUCGCGCAGUAUAGGUGGGAGGCGUUGAUUAUAAUCUUGUGGGAUUAUUGGAGCCAUCAGUGAGAUACCACUCUUGUAAUGUUAGAUUUCUAACUUUGAAUCAUGAUCUGGUCAAAGAACAGUUUCAGGCGGGCAGUUUGACUGGGGCGGUCGCCUCCUAAACGGUAACGGAGGCGUACAAAGGUUUCCUCUGAACGGGUAGAAAUCGUAUCUAGAGUGUAAAGGCAUAAGGAAGCUUGACUGUGAGACCUACAAGUCGAGCAGGGACGAAAGUCGGUCUUAGUGAUCUGACGGUACUGAGUGGAAAGGCCGUCACUCAACGGAUAAAAGUUA